This is a small nuclear RNA of Jaculus jaculus (lesser Egyptian jerboa), 107 nucleotides long. NCBI's taxonomy places the organism in Eukaryota, Metazoa, Chordata, Mammalia, Rodentia, Dipodidae. The record is from Ensembl.
GUCCUUGUUUCACAGUGCACAUACUAAAAUUGGAACCACAACAGAGAAGAUCAACAUGGACCCUGCACAUGGAUGACAUACAAAUUUGUGAAGUAUUCCAUUAAAAA